AAUAUAUAACUGAGUGCCGAGUUAAAAAACAAUUUUUAGAAAUGAAGCACAACAGUGAAAUAAUCGUUCACGAAACACAGGUAUAUAAAGUAGGUAAAUAUGCUUCCAAGUUACAAAUUAAUCACAAGAAUUCAAUCAAUAGAAUUUACAAAUAAGCAACCAAGCAAUAACCAUGCAUAAACCGGUAAGGAUACCAAACCUAACCUAAUGGAGAGUUUGGAAUAAUCUUACCAAACUACUGUUGAAAAACAGUAAAUAUACCACCAAGUUUCUGAACCUAAUUGCGGUAGACGUCAAGCCAGGGGCAAAAUCGUC
RNAcentral lists this long non-coding RNA (315 nucleotides) under Olea europaea (common olive). RNAcentral's name for it is "long non-coding RNA (OEUR_LNC009290)". Lineage: Eukaryota; Viridiplantae; Streptophyta; Magnoliopsida; Lamiales; Oleaceae. The record is from RNAcentral.